UCCCCAAUUUCACUCUUAUCUUUCUCUCCAUCUCUCAUCUCAAUUUCUCACCAAUAUUAUGCACAGUCGGGAAUCCUAUCCCUCUCCAAAAUUUCUCGCCGCAGUGAGGCGGCGCUCCGCCUCAGCCACGUCUCUCUCUUUUCUUCACCUCAUCUUCCUCUCUGGCAGCAGCACACACACACAUAUAUAAAAACCCUAGUUUCGUCCUCUCUCAAUUCCGGCAGAAUUGCCGCCGAAAUGCCGCUGCUUCCUGGAGCUCGUCCGUCGUGCCGUCGACCACCGCCGACGUCUUCUCCGCUUCGACGGAACAAGGCAGCAGCAGAAGAAAUCGAGCCUUCUCUUCUGAAGAAUCGCUGCGACUUGUGUCGUCGUCGGUGUCUUCUCUCUCUCUACCUCGACGACAAGGUGGCGACAGUAGCUGCCACGCCUCUCUCACCCUGCUCACCGCUUACUCUACUCCGUCGAGUUUUAAUCGACUCGGUCUCAAGCGGGGAUACGCCACUUAAAGGAAAGGGAAUGAAGCCCUAAUUUCGCCACCUCUAUCAUCUGCUAUCCCUAGGCGCCGCUACUGCACCGCCUGCCACGUCGCGCCGCCCUUCUUGUCUGCUAACCCUAGCCACCGCGACCAGCGCAGCCUGCUCGUCAUCGCCCCUCUCGUCUGCUAACCCUAGCCACCGCGACCAGCGCCACCUGCUCGUCGCCGCCCCUCUCGUCUGCUUACCCUAGCCACCGCGACCAGCGCCGCCUACUCGUCGCGCCCCUCUCAUUGUAUGUACAAUUUUCUAUUUUUGCACAUUAGUUUGUUCGAUUUUGUGUUUGAUUGCAUUGACAAAGUAAAUCUCUCGUUGUUGUAGGACAUGGAAUAUGGGUUGAGGUUAAUUGUUGCCUCUAAUUCAUGGAUUUUGCACUGAGUUUAUUUUGUUUUAUUUUAGAUUUGCUAUCUGUUUAGAAGAGAUUUAGUGUUUCUAAGGUUAGUUUUGCUUCUCGCUCCAUUGCUAUCAUCAGAGGUUAUUAAUUCUAGCUCUUCCCCUUCUACUAGAAAGCUGACUCACAUUUUUGUGCUUUUUAGAUUCUGUUUAAAGUGAGCUCUGUUUUUCUAUUGCAGAUUGAUUCCAUUUGCAUCUUACUUGAUGCUCGUAUAGUUGGGACUUUGGUGCAAUUUAUUUCUUCUUUCAUGUUCCUUAAGCUUGUUCCUAGCAAACACAUGGUAACAGUUUUGUGAUCUGAGGUUGGUAUGUUGGCCAGGUGCUUGUGCGCGCCGCUGGUUUCUAUCCGAGUCAGAAAGAUCAACAAGCAAGGAACAUUUCUGUCUUUAACCUCUGUAAGGUAAGUUUGCAGUAGUAUUCUUUUAGAGGAAUUGAUAUGGUUCAGUGCUUGUAAAAUAAUAUCACUUCCUUUCUAUUAAUCGGGCAGAUUGUCCAUAUCUGUAAUGUCGAAAGCUACCCUAAGCACAACUGUUGGAUGUUUAUCGUGUGAUGUAUGUUCAUCGUUUUCUCCAACAAUGCAAUUUGUUUAUCAGUAAGCAAUCAAUUAUUGAAAGUAUCCAAAAUAUGUGGAUAGUUAUUCUUGUUAUACCCAAUCGCAUUGUAGUGCAAUAGAUUUGUAAGCCUACUUGCUAUUUGGUAUCUGCUUUUGGUAUAAAUCUUCCCUUCAAUUAUAUUCAGUAUUGGGAUUGAUUGAA
Long non-coding RNA from Salvia miltiorrhiza (redroot sage), 1681 nucleotides. RefSeq lists it as uncharacterized. The transcript is spliced from 3 exons. The record is from RefSeq and is a predicted model, not a curated record. Lineage: Eukaryota; Viridiplantae; Streptophyta; Magnoliopsida; Lamiales; Lamiaceae.